This 481-nucleotide ribosomal RNA is filed under the name uncultured bacterium. RNAcentral describes it as "partial 16S ribosomal RNA". It matches the Rfam family "Bacterial small subunit ribosomal RNA", at positions 30 to 507 of the family's 1533-position model. The record is from RNAcentral.
UUGCACGCUGGCGGCAUGCCUUACCCCUGCCAGUCGAACGGUAACAGGUCUUCGGAUGCUGACGAGUGGCGAACGGGUGAGUAAUACAUCGGAACGUGCCCAGACGUGGGGGAUAACGAGGCGAAAGCUUUGCUAAUACCGCAUACGAUCUAAGGAUGAAAGCAGGGGACCGCAAGGCCUUGCGCGUUUGGAGCGGCCGAUGGCAGAUUAGGUAGUUGGUGGGAUAAAAGCUUACCAAGCCGACGAUCUGUAGCUGGUCUGAGAGGACGACCAGCCACACUGGGACUGAGACACGGCCCAGACUCCUACGGGAGGCAGCAGUGGGGAAUUUUGGACAAUGGGCGAAAGCCUGAUCCAGCAAUGCCGCGUGCAGGAUGAAGGCCUUCGGGUUGUAAACUGCUUUUGUACGGAACGAAAAGGCUCUGGCUAAUACCUGGGGCACAUGACGGUACCGUAAGAAUAAGCACCGGCUAACUACGUG